GAGAGAAGAACAUAUAAGGAUAGCCAAGGAGACUGCCUGAUGUCUUUUGAUGAGUAAAAUGGUCAUUGCUUGAUAUAACUUAUAGUCACUUGUCAAACAUGACACUAACCCAUUUUACUCAAAGAAACAGGCAAGUCAUCCUUGGCUACCAAAUAUGAUUCUUCUAU
MicroRNA precursor from Arabidopsis thaliana (thale cress), 167 nucleotides. Lineage: Eukaryota; Viridiplantae; Streptophyta; Magnoliopsida; Brassicales; Brassicaceae. The record is from Rfam.